RNAcentral lists this ribosomal RNA (341 nucleotides) under Bradyrhizobium sp. R-37818. RNAcentral describes it as "bacterial SSU rRNA". It matches the Rfam family "Bacterial small subunit ribosomal RNA", at positions 17 to 384 of the family's 1533-position model. Lineage: Bacteria; Pseudomonadati; Pseudomonadota; Alphaproteobacteria; Hyphomicrobiales; Nitrobacteraceae. The record is from RNAcentral.
UCCUGGCUCAGAGCGAACGCUGGCGGCAGGCUUAACACAUGCAAGUCGAGCGGGCGUAGCAAUACGUCAGCGGCAGACGGGUGAGUAACGCGUGGGAACAUACCUUUUGGUUCGGAACAACACAGGGAAACUUGUGCUAAUACCGGAUAAGCCCUUACGGGGAAAGAUUUAUCGCCGAAAGAUUGGCCCGCGUCUGAUUAGCUAGUUGGUGAGGUAAUGGCUCACCAAGGCGACGAUCAGUAGCUGGUCUGAGAGGAUGAUCAGCCACAUUGGGACUGAGACACGGCCCAAACUCCUACGGGAGGCAGCAGUGGGGAAUAUUGGACAAUGGGGGCAACCCU